This 491-nucleotide ribosomal RNA is filed under the name uncultured bacterium. RNAcentral describes it as "partial 16S ribosomal RNA". It matches the Rfam family "Bacterial small subunit ribosomal RNA", at positions 28 to 507 of the family's 1533-position model. The record is from RNAcentral.
GAUGAACGCUGGCUACAGGCUUAACACAUGCAAGUCGAGGGGAAACGACGGGGAAGCUUGCUUCCCCGGGCGUCGACCGGCGCACGGGUGAGUAACGCGUAUCCAACCUGCCUCUGACUGAGGGAUAACCCGUCGAAAGUCGGCCUAAUACCUCAUGGCAUCGUCUGCGGGCAUCCAACGACGAUUAAAGAUUUCAUCGGUCAGGGAUGGGGAUGCGUCUGAUUAGCUAGUUGGCGGGGUAACGGCCCACCAAGGCGACGAUCAGUAGGGGUUCUGAGAGGAAGGUCCCACACAUUGGAACUGAGACACGGUCCAAACUCCUACGGGAGGCAGCAGUGAGGAAUAUUGGUCAAUGGGCGAGAGCCUGAACCAGCCAAGUAGCGUGCAGGAUGACGGCCCUAUGGGUUGUAAACUGCUUUUAUGCGGGGAUAAAGUGAGGGACGUGUCCUUCAUUGCAGGUACCGCAUGAAUAAGGACCGGCUAAUUCCGUG